Molecule: ribosomal RNA, 988 nt
Filed under: Salmonella enterica subsp. enterica serovar Braenderup
Lineage: Bacteria; Pseudomonadati; Pseudomonadota; Gammaproteobacteria; Enterobacterales; Enterobacteriaceae
Description: partial 23S ribosomal RNA
Rfam family: Bacterial large subunit ribosomal RNA
Source: RNAcentral
UGUAACGGGGCUAAACCAUGCACCGAAGCUGCGGCAGCGACGCUUAUGCGUUGUUGGGUAGGGGAGCGUUCUGUAAGCCUGCGAAGGUGGCCUGUGAGGGUUGCUGGAGGUAUCAGAAGUGCGAAUGCUGACAUAAGUAACGAUAAAGCGGGUGAAAAGCCCGCUCGCCGGAAGACCAAGGGUUCCUGUCCAACGUUAAUCGGGGCAGGGUGAGUCGACCCCUAAGGCGAGGCCGAAAGGCGUAGUCGAUGGGAAACGGGUUAAUAUUCCCGUACUUGGUGUUACUGCGAAGGGGGGACGGAGAAGGCUAUGUUGGCCGGGCGACGGUUGUCCCGGUUUAAGCGUGUAGGUGUGUGUUCCAGGUAAAUCCGGUUCACUUUAACACUGAGGCGUGACGACGAGGCACUACGGUGCUGAAGCAACAAAUGCCCUGCUUCCAGGAAAAGCCUCUAAGCAUCAGGUAACAUCAAAUCGUACCCCAAACCGACACAGGUGGUCAGGUAGAGAAUACCAAGGCGCUUGAGAGAACUCGGGUGAAGGAACUAGGCAAAAUGGUGCCGUAACUUCGGGAGAAGGCACGCUGACACGUAGGUGAAGUGAUUUACUCAUGGAGCUGAAGUCAGUCGAAGAUACCAGCUGGCUGCAACUGUUUAUUAAAAACACAGCACUGUGCAAACACGAAAGUGGACGUAUACGGUGUGACGCCUGCCCGGUGCCGGAAGGUUAAUUGAUGGGGUCAGCGCAAGCGAAGCUCCUGAUCGAAGCCCCGGUAAACGGCGGCCGUAACUAUAACGGUCCUAAGGUAGCGAAAUUCCUUGUCGGGUAAGUUCCGACCUGCACGAAUGGCGUAAUGAUGGCCAGGCUGUCUCCACCCGAGACUCAGUGAAAUUGAACUCGCUGUGAAGAUGCAGUGUACCCGCGGCAAGACGGAAAGACCCCGUGAACCUUUACUAUAGCUUGACACUGAACAUUGAGCCUUGAUGUGUAG